CUAAAGUGUAACCAUAGAUUUCUACAUUCAACUUUGUUCGUUCGUUAUAUUUAAAAAAUAAUAAUAAUUAGUGUUUUUUUAUAAGAUGAUAAAAUAUGAAUAUUACUUUACUCGUGACUUAUAUUUUAAUCUUUUAAAAAAAAUUUUAAAUAAGAUGAAUAGUUAAAGUUGGACGCGGAAAACUACGGUUGCAUUUAAA
Molecule: non-coding RNA, 199 nt
Organism: Oryza meridionalis
Lineage: Eukaryota; Viridiplantae; Streptophyta; Magnoliopsida; Poales; Poaceae
Source: Rfam